AUACAGAGGGUGCGAGCGUUAAUCGGAAUUACUGGGCGUAAAGCGCGCGUAGGCGGUUAUUUAAGUCAGAUGUGAAAUCCCUGGGCUCAACCUAGGAACUGCAUCUGAAACUGGGUAACUAGAGUUUAGGAGAGGGGAGUAGAAUUUCGGGUGUAGCGGUGAAAUGCAUAGAGAUCCGAAGGAAUACCAGUGGCGAAGGCGACUCCCUGGCCUAGAACUGACGCUGAGGUGCGAAAGCGUGGGUAGCAAACGGGAUUAGAUACCCUUGUAGUCC
Molecule: ribosomal RNA, 274 nt
Filed under: uncultured bacterium
Lineage: Bacteria
Description: partial 16S ribosomal RNA
Rfam family: Bacterial small subunit ribosomal RNA
Source: RNAcentral